RNAcentral lists this ribosomal RNA (464 nucleotides) under uncultured bacterium. RNAcentral's name for it is "bacterial SSU rRNA". It matches the Rfam family "Bacterial small subunit ribosomal RNA", at positions 330 to 792 of the family's 1533-position model. The record is from RNAcentral.
ACCAGACUCCUACGGGAGGCAGCAGUGAGGAAUAUUGGUCAAUGGCCGAGAGGCUGAACCAGCCAAGUCGCGUGAGGGAUGACGGCCCUACGGGUUGUAAACCUCUUUUGUCGGGGAGCAAAGCGAACCACGUGUGGUUCAUUGAGAGUACCCGAAGAAAAAGCAUCGGCUAACUCCGUGCCAGCAGCCGCGGUAAUACGGAGGAUGCGAGCGUUAUCCGGAUUUAUUGGGUUUAAAGGGUGCGCAGGCGGAAUGUCAAGUCAGCGGUAAAAUUUCGGGGCUCAACCCCGUCGUGCCGUUGAAACUGGCGCUCUUGAGUGAGCGAGAAGUAUGCGGAAUGCGUGGUGUAGCGGUGAAAUGCAUAGAUAUCACGCAGAACUCCGAUUGCGAAGGCAGCAUACCGGCGCUCAACUGACGCUCAUGCACGAAAGCGUGGGUAUCGAACAGGAUUAGAUACCCGUGUA